This 1501-nucleotide long non-coding RNA is filed under the name Marmota monax (woodchuck). Lineage: Eukaryota; Metazoa; Chordata; Mammalia; Rodentia; Sciuridae. The record is from RNAcentral.
GUCACCAAGGCCAUGGACUACCCGCCCCCAUGGCCCUCAGUGCGUCCCAGUCGGGGGAACACAGGACCCUGGCACCACUACCAGAUGCCCCCAGGGUGGCGCACAUGGGGUCUCCCCCACCCGCGGGCCGGCUGUGGCCCAGGUGCGUCUCUGAGCACCUGACGGGGUCGAGGCUGCUCCCUCCCUCCGUGGGUAGGUGCAGCCUGACUCCCAGGCUCUCGGCUCAGGCGGGUUGGCUGGACAGGGCCCCGACCGGUGACUCCAGCAGAUUUGAGCCCCCUCCGUGAACAGUCGCGGUGCACCCCCCAGAGCGAUGCCGGGACCCGCUGCUCGCCCGUCUCUGACAGGGUUUGUAGGUGUGUAUCGGAAUCAGGAUCCAAACUCACUGCCCUCACCGACCUCGAGGGCAACGUGUCUUGGUCGCCCCCUUCGUCUCCAGGGCAUCCUAGGGAUCUCGCCGUCCAGUGCCUCCAUGGGCCCGCCUGGCCUGGCUGGACAGGUUCCUCCAUCCCUGCGCUUCCUGAAUCCAGGGCUCUGUUCCUGGGGCCGGUCAGAGGCAGAGCCUCUGGGGAGGCCCACGGCACCCGGCGCCCUCCUCUGGGGACAGCUGGAUCCACAGGUUCAGGACCUCUGCUGGCAGCUCCUGUUCUGGGGGGAGUGGUGUCCUACUCUGUCUUCCGUGUGCGUCAGCCCGCUGGACGCCCUGUAGGGAGAGCUCUCCUGUGAGCUGUCCAGCCCCGGCGGGCGAGGGCUGGUGCAGGGAGCCAGGCGAAGGCCCACUCUGUUUCCCUGCAGGGCCCCCGGCCACGGCAGGGCCUAAGCCCCUGCGAGGGACUCAAAAUGCUCUUCCGAGCCUUGUUCCAUGUUCUUCCACUGGUCGUGGGCAUUAUCUGCCCGAUGCCCACUGGACCCCCGGCCACUGGGAGCCUUCAGAGCCAGCCGCUCGACCUACCGCAGGAUGGCAGCGUGACUUGCUGGAGGCAGAGGGCGCUCCAGGAGCCUUCGAGGACCACCGUGCGCUGGGCACUCUUUGUCCUGCCCACCCUGGGAGGCAGCCGCCUGCCCCAAGAGCCCUGGGUCCCGGAGAGGAAGGGCUGGGAGGCUGCCCGUGGGGUCCAGGGGCACAGGUGUCCUGUCCUUGGUUAGAAACACGCAAGCUCAGAAGUCCCAGCUGCCACCUCCAAGGAGAUCUCAGAAUCCCCGCCAGUCCCUGAUUUCCUGCUGUGUCUCCUCACACCUGGGCCACCCUGGUCCCUCACACCUGGGCCACCCUGGUCCCUCACACCUGGGCCACCCUGGUCCCUCAGACCUGGUCCAUCCUGGUCCCUCAGACCUGGGCCACACUGGUCCCUCACACCUGGGCCACCCUGGUCACUCACACCUGGGCCACCCUGGUCCCUCACACCUGGGCCACCCUGGUCCCUCACACCUGGGCCACCCUGGUCCCUCACACCUGGGCCACCCUGGUCCCUCACACCUGGGCCACCCUGGUCCCUCACAN